UAAUACGUAGGUGGCAAGCGUUGUCCGGAUUUAUUGGGUUUAAAGGGUGCGUAGGCGGCCCUGUAAGUCAGUGGUGAAAUACUCCAGCUUAACUGGAGGGGUGCCAUUGAUACUGCAGGGCUUGAGUGGAGUCGAAGUAGGCGGAAUUGACGGUGUAGCGGUGAAAUGCUUAGAUAUCGUCAAGAACACCGAUAGUGAAGACAGUUUACUAGGCUUCUACUGACGCUGAGGCACGAAAGUGUGGGGAUCAAACAGGAUUAGAUACCCUGGUAGUCCACACUGUAAACGUUGAUUACUCGCUGUUGGCGAUACACAGCCAGCGGCCAAGCGCAAGCGAUAAGUAAUCCACCUGGGGAGUACGCCGGCAACGGUG
RNAcentral lists this ribosomal RNA (373 nucleotides) under uncultured bacterium. RNAcentral describes it as "bacterial SSU rRNA". It matches the Rfam family "Bacterial small subunit ribosomal RNA", at positions 521 to 896 of the family's 1533-position model. The record is from RNAcentral.